RNAcentral lists this ribosomal RNA (482 nucleotides) under uncultured bacterium. Its description in RNAcentral is "partial 16S ribosomal RNA". It matches the Rfam family "Bacterial small subunit ribosomal RNA", at positions 28 to 507 of the family's 1533-position model. The record is from RNAcentral.
GACGAACGCUGGCGGCGUGCUUAACACAUGCAAGUCGAACGAUAAAGAAGAGCAACGCGAGCUUCGGUUCAAAUUUCACUUCGGAUUAGUGGCAGACGGGUGAGUCACGCGUGAGCGAACUACCUCUUACAAAGGGAUAGCCUCGGGGAACCGUGAUUCAUACCAUAUGACACAUUCAGAAAGCAUCGUCAGAAUGUUAAGGCUACGGCGGUAAGGGAUGGGCUCGCGUCCCAUUAGCUUGCUGGUGAGGUAACGGCCAACCAAGGCGACGGUGGGUAACCGGCCUGAGAGGGGGAACGGUCACAUUGGAACUGAGACACGGUCCAAACCCCUACGGGAGGGAGCAGUGGGGAAUAUUGCACAAUGGAGGGAACUCUGAUGCAGCGACGCCGCGUGAGCGAUGAAGGAAUUCGUUUCGUAAAGCUCUGUUCUAUGGGAAGAAAAGGACUGUACCAUAUGAGAAAGCCCCGGCUAAAUACGUG